CCUACGGGAGGCAGCAGUGGGGAAUAUUGGGCAAUGGAGGAAACUCUGACCCAGCAACGCCGCGUGAAGGAUGAAGGUUUUCGGAUUGUAAACUUCUGUCGCGAGGGAUGAAGAAUGACGGUACCUCGUAAGAAAGCCCCGGCAAACUACGUGCCAGCAGCCGCGGUAAUACGUAGGGGGCGAGCGUUGUCCGGAAUGACUGGGCGUAAAGGGAGUGUAGGCGGCAUAUUAAGUUAUGUGUGAAAGCCCGCGGCUCAACCGCGGAAUUGCACAAAAAACUGGUAAGCGGGAGUGCAGGAGAGGAAAGGGGAAUUCCGGGUGGAGGGGUGGAAUGCGGAGAUAUGGGGAGGAACACCAGGGGCGAAGGCGACUUACUGGACUUUAACGGACGCGGAGGCUGGAAAGGGUGGGGAGCAAACAGGAUUAGAUACCCGGGGAGUC
Molecule: ribosomal RNA, 441 nt
Filed under: uncultured bacterium
Lineage: Bacteria
Description: partial 16S ribosomal RNA
Rfam family: Bacterial small subunit ribosomal RNA
Source: RNAcentral